UACGUAGGGGGCGAGCGUUGUCCGGAAUUAUUGGGCGUAAAGCGCGUGUAGGCGGCCUUGCAAGUCGGGUGUGAAAGCCCUCAGCUCAACUGAGGAAGUGCGCCCGAAACUGCUUGGCUUGAGUACCGGAGAGGAUGGUGGAAUUCCCGAAGUAGAGGUGAAAUUCGUAGAUAUCGGGAGGAACACCGGUGGCGAAGGCGACCAUCUGGACGGAUACUGACGCUGAGACGCGAAAGCGUGGGUAGCAAACAGG
This 253-nucleotide ribosomal RNA is filed under the name uncultured bacterium. Its description in RNAcentral is "partial 16S ribosomal RNA". It matches the Rfam family "Bacterial small subunit ribosomal RNA", at positions 524 to 776 of the family's 1533-position model. The record is from RNAcentral.